GCAGUCGAGCGAGGCCCUUCCUUCGGGAAGGUGUCCUAGCGGCGAACGGGUGAGUAACACGUGGGCAACCUGCCCCUAGCACUGGGAUAACCCCGGGAAACCGGGGCUAAUACCGGAUACGACCUCCUUGGGCAUCCUCGGAGGUGGAAAAGGUUACUGGCUAGGGAUGGGCCCGCGGCCUAUCAGCUUGUUGGUGAGGUAACGGCCCACCAAGGCUUCGACGGGUAGCCGGCCUGAGAGGGCGACCGGCCACACUGGGACUGAGACACGGCCCAGACUCCUACGGGAGGCAGCAGUGGGGAAUAUUGCACAAUGGGCGAAAGCCUGAUGCAGCGACGCCGCGUGAGGGAUGACGGCCUUCGGGUUGUAAACCUCUUUCAGCAGGGACGAAGCGAAAGUGACGGUACCUGCAGAAGAAGCACCGGCCAACUACGUGCCAGCAGCCGCGGUAAUACGUAGGGUGCAAGCGUUGUCCGGAAUUAUUGGGCGUAAAGAGCUCGUAGGCGGUCUGUUACGUCGGCUGUGAAAACCUGGGGCUCAACCCCGGGCCUGCAGCCGAUACGGGCAGACUAGAAUUCGGUAGGGGAGACUGGAAUUCCUGGUGUAGCGGUGAAAUGCGCAGAUAUCANGAGGAACACCGGUGGCGAANGCGGGUCUCUGGGCCGAUAUUGACGCUGAGGAGCGAAAGCGUGGGGAGCGAACAGGAUUAGAUACCCUGGUAGUCCACGCCGUAAACGUUGGGCGCUAGGGUGGGCUCCAUUCCACGGANUCUGUGCCGCANCUAACGCANUAAGCGCCCCGCCUGGGGAGUA
Molecule: ribosomal RNA, 812 nt
Filed under: Actinomycetales bacterium URHD0103
Lineage: Bacteria; Bacillati; Actinomycetota; Actinomycetes; Actinomycetales
Description: bacterial SSU rRNA
Rfam family: Bacterial small subunit ribosomal RNA
Source: RNAcentral